GAUGAAGAACGUAGUGAAAUGCGAUACGUAAUGUGAAUUGCAGAAUUCAGUGAAUCAUCGAAUCUUUGAACGCAUAUUGCGCUCUCUGGUAUUCCGGAGAGCAUGCUUGUUUGAGUAUCAGUAAACACCUCAACUUCCAUAUCUUUUUUGAAAUGGGAGUUGGACUUGAGUGAUCCCAAUGCUUUUCCUCACCGAAAAGUGGCGGGUUACUUGAAAUGCAGGUGCAGCUGGACUUUUCUCUGAGCUAUAAGCAUAUCUAUUUAGUCUGCCUAAAAAACAGAUUAUUACCUUUGCUGCAGCUAACAUAAAGGAGAUUAGUUCUUGUGCUGACUGAUGCAGGAUUCACAAAGACAGGCUUCGGCCGACUUUGUAAACUCGAUCUCAAAUCAAGUAAGACUACCCGCUGAACUUAAGCAUAUCAAUAAGCGGAGGA
Molecule: unclassified non-coding RNA, 433 nt
Filed under: soil metagenome
Description: partial contains 5.8S ribosomal RNA, internal transcribed spacer 2, and large subunit ribosomal RNA
Rfam family: 5.8S ribosomal RNA (bases 1-120)
Source: RNAcentral